AUGCAGGGGGGAAAUCUCUCGUGUUUGUUGUUGUCGACGUGCGUGUGCGAUUUGGUUCUGCAUAUGGAUUGGGUUUUGAGGGUUUUUCCGAUUCCUCGAUGCGUUACAGUUAGCAGUAACUGGAUUUGCUGCUGCAUUGGCUCCUCAAUCUGUUCCUCACAGCGUGGGGUCAGUUUACCUCAAAUUGUCUGCAUUUUGUCUCGCACACUUGCUAAGUUGCUAUGCAUCAGGAUCACACCAAAUGAGAUACUGCACUUGUCUGUCAAGAUACAACCAAUUGCAGCAGAGGUAGCACCACAGGAUAAACACCUUAUUUAUCUCUAG
This 324-nucleotide ribosomal RNA is filed under the name Triticum aestivum (bread wheat). RNAcentral describes it as "partial small subunit ribosomal RNA". The record is from RNAcentral. Lineage: Eukaryota; Viridiplantae; Streptophyta; Magnoliopsida; Poales; Poaceae.